CAAUCGGCCCUUUUCAGGGCCAACAAACUUCCAUAAAAGGGUUUAU
This is a non-coding RNA of Aedes aegypti (yellow fever mosquito), 46 nucleotides long. The record is from Rfam. Lineage: Eukaryota; Metazoa; Arthropoda; Insecta; Diptera; Culicidae.